CACUCCCACUCUAACGCUCGCCAACCGCCCAAAACUGUGGCUCCUACAGUUUUGAUGCUAGAAUAAAAAAUUGAACUGGGAAGUACUGUUCUCAUUAAUGUGUAACGAUUGACCUAAUAAAAGGAUGCCACGCCCACUUUAACGCCAACAAGCCGCCCACAAACCUUAAAAUAUCCUGAUUUAUCUUUAUUACACAAUCAUCAGCCCGAUUAUCGCCUCUUUUUAUUUCUCUUUGUCAAUGAACUGGAUGCAGUCGAAAUUUACUCCGGCACCUGAAGAAUACAAAUAAAGGAUUAUUUUAUAUUA
This is a non-coding RNA of Drosophila suzukii, 306 nucleotides long. Lineage: Eukaryota; Metazoa; Arthropoda; Insecta; Diptera; Drosophilidae. The record is from RefSeq and is a predicted model, not a curated record.